GGCUUCCCCGACUCCAGCUUCUCCGGCGCAAGCAGAUUUUUGCACCAACAUUUCUUUUAAGAGCUUAUGUUGUGUGAUGUAUAGAUUCUAAGUAUAUUUUAUAGGAGUAGCAUGAAGCUGGCAUCUCCAUUUUUAAGUAAUUUGAUGUAGUAGGUUUUUUUUGGCAAUGUAAUAUUUUUUAUGAGAAUGUAUUAUUAUUUGAGAAGCUUUGUAAGGGGAUGUAUUUUUGCAUAACGUAUUAUACUUAUAAAAUAUGCUUAGCAUG
Molecule: long non-coding RNA, 265 nt
Filed under: Elaeis guineensis (African oil palm)
Lineage: Eukaryota; Viridiplantae; Streptophyta; Magnoliopsida; Arecales; Arecaceae
Description: long non-coding RNA (EGUI_LNC008344)
Source: RNAcentral